This 347-nucleotide non-coding RNA is filed under the name Mesorhizobium sp. LNHC252B00. RNAcentral describes it as "bacterial LSU rRNA". It matches the Rfam family "Bacterial large subunit ribosomal RNA", at positions 1 to 246 of the family's 2925-position model. The record is from RNAcentral. Lineage: Bacteria; Pseudomonadati; Pseudomonadota; Alphaproteobacteria; Hyphomicrobiales; Phyllobacteriaceae.
GAUCAAGUGUCUUAAGGGCAAUUGGUGGAUGCCUUGGCAUGCACAGGCGAUGAAGGACGUGAUACGCUGCGAUAAGCUACAGAUCGGAAGAGCACNAGCUACGGGGAGGUGCGAAUACCCUUUGAUCCGUAGAUUUCCGAAUGGGGAAACCCACCUAAGGUGCUUGGAAAAUCAGAGUAGCAGGGAUGCGACGAUCUCUCUGAGAUCGUGCCGUCUUGCUGCUGUGGUUUCCAAGUAUCUGUUAUAGGUAACUUAUCCUGAAUACAUAGGGAUAAAGUGGCGAACGCGGGGAACUGAAACAUCUAAGUACCCGUAGGAAAGGACAUCAACCGAGACUCCGGAAGUAG